UGAACCUGCNNNNNNAUCAUUACACAAAUAUGAAGGCGGGCUGGAACCUCUCGGGGUUACAGCCUUGCUGAAUUAUUCACCCUUGUCUUUUGCGUACUUCUUGUUUCCUUGGUGGGUUCGCCCACCACUAGGACAAACAUAAACCUUUUGUAAUUGCAAUCAGCGUCAGUAACAAAUUAAUAAUUACAACAUUCAACAACGGAUCUCUUGGUUCUGGCAUCGAUGAAGAACGCAGCGAAAUGCGAUAAGUAGUGUGAAUUGCAGAAUUCAGUGAAUCAUCGAAUCUUUGAACGCACAUUGCGCCCUUUGGUAUUCCAAAGGGCAUGCCUGUCCGAGCGUCAUUUGUACCCUCAAGCUUUGCUUGGUGUUGGGCGUCUUGUCUCUAGCUUUGCUGGAGACUCGCCUUAAAGUAAUUGGCAGCCGGCCUACUGGUUUCGGAGCGCAGCACAAGUCGCACUCUCUAUCAGCAAAGGUCUAGCAUCCAUUAAGCCUUUUUUUCAACUUUUGACCUCGGAUCAGGUAGGGAUACCCGCUGAACUUAAGCAUAUCA
RNAcentral lists this ribosomal RNA (550 nucleotides) under uncultured fungus. RNAcentral's name for it is "eukaryotic LSU rRNA". The stretch from base 188 to 341 matches the Rfam family "5.8S ribosomal RNA". Lineage: Eukaryota; Fungi. The record is from RNAcentral.